Molecule: unclassified non-coding RNA, 182 nt
Filed under: Ascomycota sp.
Lineage: Eukaryota; Fungi; Ascomycota
Description: partial contains small subunit ribosomal RNA, internal transcribed spacer 1, and 5.8S ribosomal RNA
Rfam family: Eukaryotic small subunit ribosomal RNA (bases 1-47)
Source: RNAcentral
AAAGUCGUAACAAGGUUUCCGUAGGUGAACCUGCGGAAGGAUCAUUACAAGAAUUCCUUCGGGAACUCCAACCCUUGCCAAUUUACCUCUUGCUUGGUCGUUUCGGCCAAUCUACUACCUGAACACGUUGUCUGAGUGAGACUAAAUACACAAAACUUUCAACAAUGGAUCUCUUGGUUCGA